Molecule: long non-coding RNA, 589 nt
Organism: Hippopotamus amphibius kiboko
Lineage: Eukaryota; Metazoa; Chordata; Mammalia; Artiodactyla; Hippopotamidae
Exons: 3
Source: RefSeq, a predicted model, not a curated record
UUCACAGUGGCUCCUCAUGUAGUUUGGAGCUUAGAAUGGUGAGCCAUCGUUUUUUUUUAGCGAUUAAAAAUCCAGAGGAAAGACGGUUAAUCCUAGAGAUAGGAGACAAAAUCCUGAAGAAAGAGUAAAGACGAGAGGAGAACAAAAAGUGCCAGACAUGGCAAAGGAACAGGAAAAUCUAACCGAUGGUGACAGAAGUCAGAAUAAAGGUGAGCGUGAAGACUGACUGUAAGGAAGCACAAGAGUUUUCCAGAUGCUACAAGUGUGAUAUCAUCACUCUGACAGCUAAUGGAAUAUGUGCCUGUAUAUUCUUAGGUCUUAAAGAAUAUAUUCUAGGGACUUCCCUGGUGGCACAGUGGUUAAGAAUUGCUUGCCAAUGCAGGGGACAUGGGUUUGAUACUUGGGUCGGGGAGAUUCCCACAUGCUGCAGAGCAACUAAAGCCCAUGAGCCACAACUACUGAAGCCUGCGCACCUACAGCCCGUGCCCUGCAACAAGAGAAGCCACCGCAGUGAGAAGCCAGCGCUCCGCAACGAAGAGUAGCCUCUGCUUUCCGCAACCAGAGAAAGCUCAUGUGCAAGAAAGACACA